AUGAAGAAUCUGAAGGAUCCAAAGACUAAGAUUUAUCCCUCAAUGACGAGGGGAGGUAAGGAACUGCCAUCCAGUUCUUCUUUAGAUUCACCUUCUGUUAUGAGUAAAUUUGCAACACCACCACAUACUAUCUCUGAUAUGUCGCAAAUUAUUGAUGAUGCUACUUCUACUAUGAAUGAUGCUUAUGAUGAUGCUAGUACCUUGCUUGCUAAUGAUGAUGUGCCACUUGGUGAUUUUCUUGAUAAACAAAUUGCUAGAGUUAUACAACAUGAUGUCGUUGAAUCUGAUGAUGAGCUUGAAACUAAAACUCCUGAAACACCUGUUAGAACUAGACUUCCUAGAUAUGAAUUGCCUAAGGUACCGGAAGGUUAUGUUAUGAGUGAAGAAGCAACUAGAGAUAUUCUUGCUUGCAAUGAUAGAGAUGAUCUAGAGAAAUUACUAUGCAAGUACAGAGAAAAAUCUUUGAAUUCUAGAAUGAAAUGUGAUCCUAAGUUUGCUACUUCACCUAUCUGUAUUGCUGAUAAGGAUUAG
This 531-nucleotide ribosomal RNA is filed under the name Triticum aestivum (bread wheat). RNAcentral describes it as "partial small subunit ribosomal RNA". The record is from RNAcentral. Lineage: Eukaryota; Viridiplantae; Streptophyta; Magnoliopsida; Poales; Poaceae.